Molecule: long non-coding RNA, 455 nt
Filed under: Panax ginseng (ginseng)
Lineage: Eukaryota; Viridiplantae; Streptophyta; Magnoliopsida; Apiales; Araliaceae
Description: long non-coding RNA (PGIN_LNC016578)
Source: RNAcentral
AAUGUUACAAAUGAUGUGGUAAAAUUUCUCAUUGGCCCAUAGUGCAUUGAUGGACAGUUGUUGGCAUGAUCAUGACCAUUAAUGAAUACACAAAUAUUCUUGGCCCGUAGUGCAUGGAUAAUUGUGAUCGUGAUACUAAAGAAUAUCCUUGACCGUAGUGCAGGGGUGAUUCGAUGAUGUGGAAUAUUUAUUAAGCUGAGUCUCAGCGAUAACAGUGAUGAAAAACCUUUUUAAUCAUAAAAGAUAGUAGAUGUUAUUUUCUACUUGACUCUUUUAAUGGAUUGCUUGUUCCGUUGCAGUUAAACUUGAUGUCUAUUAUAUUUUAUCAGUUUAACAUUGUUGGAGACUAAUGAUAAUUUAUUCUGCAUUAUCUUAGUCAUAAUAUUUCUUACUGGCUAGUUGAGCUCACCUUUCCUUUCACUGUUCUCUUCAGGAAAUGAGAAUAUAGCUGGGAC